UACAGAGGUCCCGAGCGUUGUUCGGAUUCACUGGGCGUAAAGGGUGCGCAGGUGGGUUGGCAAGUUUGAUGUGAAAGCCCCGGGCUUAACCCGGGAAUGGCAUUGAAUACUGCUGAUCUGGAGGAUCGGAGGGGGGACUGGAAUUCUUGGUGUAGCAGUGAAAUGCGUAGAUAUCUGGAGGAACACCGGUGGCGAAGGCGGCGUCCUGGACCAACACUGACACUGAUGAGCGAAAGCCAGGGGAGCAAACGGG
This 253-nucleotide ribosomal RNA is filed under the name uncultured bacterium. RNAcentral describes it as "partial 16S ribosomal RNA". It matches the Rfam family "Bacterial small subunit ribosomal RNA", at positions 524 to 776 of the family's 1533-position model. The record is from RNAcentral.